This 566-nucleotide ribosomal RNA is filed under the name uncultured rumen bacterium. RNAcentral's name for it is "bacterial SSU rRNA". It matches the Rfam family "Bacterial small subunit ribosomal RNA", at positions 66 to 645 of the family's 1533-position model. The record is from RNAcentral.
ACGGAACCUUCGGGUUUAGUGGCGAACGGGUGAGUAAAGCGCAGGUAAUCUGCCGCAAAGUCGGGGACAACGUUCCGAAAGGGACGCUAAUACCGGAUGUUGUGUAAAGUUCGCAUGGAUUUUACACUAAAGAUUUAUCGCUUUGCGAGGAGCCUGCGUCCGAUUAGCUAGUUGGUGUAGUAAAGGUGCACCAAGGCGACGAUCGGUAGCCGGUCUGAGAGGAUGAACGGCCACAAUGGAACUGAGACACGGUCCAUACUCCUACGGGAGGCAGCAGUGGGGAAUAUUCCACAAUGGGCGAAAGCCUGAUGGAGCGACGCCGCGUGAGUGAAGAAGGGCUUCGGCUCGUAAAGCUCUUUUCUAGAGGACGAAUGGCGCAUUAGAUGCGCAGGGACGGUACUCUGGGAAUAAGCCACGGCUAACUACGUGCCAGCAGCCGCGGUAAUACGUAGGUGGCAAGCGUUGUCCGGAAUUAUUGGGCGUAAAGGGAGCGCAGGCGGGACGGUAAGUCCAAAUUAAAAGUGCAGGAGUAAUGCCUGUGAUGGUUUGGAAACUAUCGUUCUUGA